RNAcentral lists this long non-coding RNA (389 nucleotides) under Salvia miltiorrhiza (redroot sage). RNAcentral's name for it is "long non-coding RNA (SMIL_LNC011031)". The record is from RNAcentral. Lineage: Eukaryota; Viridiplantae; Streptophyta; Magnoliopsida; Lamiales; Lamiaceae.
CGGGGAUUGAUUAGAAGUUGCUUUAAUAUUUCCGAUAGGACUAGGUAGUACUUCAGGCGUUUACUGUUUCUUUUUAUUUUUAUUAUUAUUUUUUUUUCUCGUUUUUUUUCAGGCACUGCAUACGAUGGCAACUAUUGAGCAAAUUCAAUUUCAAAUGUUGGAUAUGAUGCAGCAGAUGUUAACAGAGAUGUCUAGUAUGAAGACAACUGUUAAUACAAGAAUGACCAAUUUGGAGUUCCAAGUGGGUCAUAUUGAAAAAAAUUUCUCAGCACUGUCCAAGCAAGUGCAGAUGUUGGAGACUCAAAUUGGUCAGAUUGCCAACCAAGCAGCCGCGCAGCACAAGUCGAGCCAAUUCCCGAGCAACACUACUGUCAAUCCAAAGGGCAAAU